RNAcentral lists this transfer RNA (73 nucleotides) under Ovis aries (sheep). It matches the Rfam family "tRNA". From Rfam's summary of the family: Transfer RNA (tRNA) molecules are approximately 80 nucleotides in length. The record is from Rfam by way of RNAcentral. Lineage: Eukaryota; Metazoa; Chordata; Mammalia; Artiodactyla; Bovidae.
UCCCUGGUGGUCCAGUGGCUAAGACUCUGCACUCCCAGUGCAGGAGGCCUGGAUUUAAUUCCUUGUCGGGGAA